Molecule: long non-coding RNA, 1057 nt
Organism: Vigna angularis (adzuki bean)
Lineage: Eukaryota; Viridiplantae; Streptophyta; Magnoliopsida; Fabales; Fabaceae
Exons: 6
Source: RefSeq, a predicted model, not a curated record
ACUACAAAAAUAAUUAAUUCUAUUGGCGGUUUAUUAUAUGUGUUCCAUCCUCCACCAACAAUAUCCCCUGAGACUGACCAAAACAACCCCUGCCGCCACCUCCCCCUCCCCUUCCCUUACCGUCCAUGGCAGGUAGCUCUUGCAUGGAGCAACUCCUCUAACUCCCUCACCCUGUGCAUGGACCAGAUUGAGUGUCGCCUCCGCCACAUCGUCGCCACCCUCUCAGACCGCCUCAAGCGCGCCGAGAGUGCCUUCAUGGAGUGCGUCGUGGGGAACUGGUUCUGGUGCUGGGAGGAGCAUAAUAUCGCUGCCGCCAAGGAGGUGGGGGGGCGCGGAUGCUAAAGCACAAAUGGAAGAGGUGGUGAGCGUGGUUCUUUGGGCGAACCGCGUGAGGCGGAGCGUUCUUGUGGACAUAAUGAGCGCAACCAUUGUGUACCAGGCAAUGCUCUUUCUUGAAGGCCUAGCCCAAUUCCUCAUUGGCUUCAGAGAGUAGGACCUGCUCAAUGUCGUCGAACAGUGCAAGAUGGGGAAAUACCCCGCUUGAUGAAGCCCUGAUGUGUGGAAAUAAGAUUCGAUCAAGUUGCUUGAAGAUGCAAAAUAUGCUCAACUGUUAGAAUUCCCUCGAAUUCCUCCCAAGAAUUUACAAAUAGUUAGCAGGGACAUGAUAGUUUACUCCAAAUAGAAGCAUACAACUGUUGAUGAACCGUAGAAACGUUCGUCGCGCCGUGAGCUUCCAUUUGAACCGAACAGUUUUUAGAACUGAAACGGAUUGAUUGGAAUAGUAAGUGAUCAUUACUGCUAGAGAACGAAUGUUGGACGAGUCUCAAUUCUUACGUAUUGAACGUUUAAGUCAUCAAUCCGGGUGGUGAGGCGUUGCUUGAGGAAACGCUGGAAGAAGAAAAUUUGGAGGAAGCAACCCUCGUAGAUGUUGAAGUGAAGGCCGAACAGUAGACGUUCGGUUAGCUGUUUAGAUUAGAUAUUUUUUUUUAUUGUACUGAUUUUUAGAUCGACCCCUUUUGAUUAAUUGACCGUUCGGUAUUUCUGUUUUGUAAACUGA